RNAcentral lists this ribosomal RNA (489 nucleotides) under uncultured bacterium. RNAcentral's name for it is "bacterial SSU rRNA". It matches the Rfam family "Bacterial small subunit ribosomal RNA", at positions 15 to 507 of the family's 1533-position model. The record is from RNAcentral.
GAUCAUGGCUCAGGAUGAACGCUAGCGGCAGGCCUAACACAUGCAAGUCGAGGGUAGUACUUUCGGGUAAUGAGACCGGCGCACGGGUGCGUAACGCGUAUGCAAUCUACCUUUACAGGGGAAUAGCCCAGAGAAAUUUGGAUUAAUGCCCCCAUAGUAUGUGAGAAUCGCAUGGUUUUCACAUUAAAGUUCCAACGGUAAAAGAUGAGCAUGCGUCCCAUUAGCUAGAUGGUAAGGUAACGGCUUACCAUGGCGACGAUAGGUAGGGGGCCUGAGAGGGUGGUCCCCCACACUGGUACUGAGACACGGACCCGACUCCUACGGGAGGCAGCAGUAAGGAAUAUUGGACAAUGCCCGCAAGGGUGAUCCAGCCAUGCCGCGUGCAGGAAGACGGCCCUAUGGGUUGUAAACUGCUUUUAUACAAGAGAAAACCUCCCUACGUGUAGGGAGCUGAUAGUAUUGUAGGAAUAAGCAUCGGCUAACUUCGUG